This is a small nuclear RNA of Chanos chanos (milkfish), 157 nucleotides long. RefSeq annotates it as U1 spliceosomal RNA. Lineage: Eukaryota; Metazoa; Chordata; Actinopteri; Gonorynchiformes; Chanidae. The transcript has a single exon. The record is from RefSeq and is a predicted model, not a curated record.
AUACUUACCUGGCAGGAAAGACACCAUGAUCACGAAGGUGGUUCACCCUGGGUGAGGCUUAGCCAUUGCACUUGGGUUAUGCUGACCUCUGCGAACUCUGCGAACUCUCGACUGCAUAAUUUGUGGUGGUGGGGGACUGCGUUCGCGCUUUCCCCUG